Non-coding RNA from Pelobates cultripes (western spadefoot toad), 755 nucleotides. The record is from the annotation of a GenBank genome assembly. NCBI's taxonomy places the organism in Eukaryota, Metazoa, Chordata, Amphibia, Anura, Pelobatidae.
UUACAUUGGCUAGCCAGCCAGUCUUCUAUUCAAAGUUUUGUUCCCAAUUCAAGGGGGGAGAGAGAAGAAUCGAGUUACAAAGCUAUUUUGGAACUGGGAAAACAAACUUGAAGAGAAAAAAAGAAUCUAGAUUAGCAUAGAAGAACGGUGGUUUGUAAGAAAAGGAAAGUUUUCAAAUCAAAGACUGUACAAGACUAUUUUCUACAACUGAGACAAAAAGCACAAGAUACAACGUGAAUUCUAGAAGCAAGCACGUGGCAGAGAUUGGCACGCGUCCAGAAUCAAGCGUCCAGAACUGCGCAGCUGUGUGGAUGAAGCAACGAAAUAGACAGAAAUAACUGAUCUGGUAAAGCGUGACAGAUCCUUGUGGCAAUAAAUUAGGAAAGCAUUCCUUCAGACAUUUGGAUAUCGACUGUUGGAAAGAGACUUUUCAUCUGAUCUGCAAACUGUGAUGGAAGAUUCUACAGAGUUCAUUCGAUACAGAAGAUUAACAGACUUACAAAGAAAUAAAAGAUUGACACUAACAUACAUAUAUAUUCCUAAAUAUUAAUGAAGAAAACAGACAAUGAAAAGUUAUUUAACAGUUAUAAGUAUUAAUACCAAAAGAGAGUACUUAUAACAAUAUAACACAUGGAGUACAAUUAUGAUAGGAUAGUAUUAUGAAAAUAACUAUUACAUUAUUACCUAUACAUAGAAUGAGAAGUAUCAGACGUAGAUAAAAUAUGAAGUUGAUAAAAUUACUUAAUUCUACAAAG